Molecule: ribosomal RNA, 487 nt
Filed under: uncultured bacterium
Lineage: Bacteria
Description: bacterial SSU rRNA
Rfam family: Bacterial small subunit ribosomal RNA
Source: RNAcentral
GAUGAACGCUAGCGGCAGGCCUAAUACAUGCAAGUCGAACGGUAGAUCGGGUAGCAAUACUUGAUUGAGAGUGACGUAAGGGUGCGUAACACGUAUGCAAUCUACCCUCAACAGGAGUAUAGCUCGGGGAAACUCGGAUUAACACUCCGUAACAUUACGAUGUGGCAUCACAUUGUGAUUAAAACUCCGGUGGUUGAGGAUGAGCAUGCGUCUGAUUAGUUAGUUGGAGGUGUAACGGACCCCCAAGACGAUGAUCAGUAGGGGAACUGAGAGGUUGAUCCCCCACACUGGCACUGAGAUACGGGCCAGACUCCUACGGGAGGCAGCAGUAGGGAAUAUUGGUCAAUGGGUGAGAGCCUGAACCAGCCAUGCCGCGUGCAGGAAGACGGCCUUCUGGGUUGUAAACUGCUUUUAUCUGGGGAUAAAAAGCCCAUGCGUGGGACAUUGAAGGUACCAGAUGAAUAAGCACCGGCUAACUACGUGCCAG